RNAcentral lists this ribosomal RNA (265 nucleotides) under uncultured Blastocystis sp. RNAcentral describes it as "partial small subunit ribosomal RNA". It matches the Rfam family "Eukaryotic small subunit ribosomal RNA", at positions 87 to 370 of the family's 1831-position model. Lineage: Eukaryota; Bigyra; Opalinata; Blastocystidae. The record is from RNAcentral.
CUGCGAAUGGCUCAUUAUAUCAGUUAUAGUUUAUUUGAUGAAGAAUACUAAUUGGAUAACCGUAGUAAUUCUAGAGCUAAUACAUGUAUAAAGUCUUGUAGACUGCAUUUAUUAGAAUGAAAACCAUAGGUUUCGGCCUAUUCGUGAGUAAUAAUAACUAAUCAUAUCGUAUGCUUAUGUAACGAUGUGUCUUUCAAGUUUCUGCCCUAUCAGCUUUCGAUGUAGUGGAUUGGACUACCAUGGCAGUAACGGGGUAACGAAGAAA